RNAcentral lists this ribosomal RNA (463 nucleotides) under uncultured bacterium. RNAcentral describes it as "partial 16S ribosomal RNA". It matches the Rfam family "Bacterial small subunit ribosomal RNA", at positions 28 to 507 of the family's 1533-position model. The record is from RNAcentral.
GACGAACGCUGACAGCAUGCUUAACACAUGCAAGUCGAAGGGGAAGGGGUGCUUGCACCGUGGCAAGCAUGGCGAACGGGUGAGUAACGCGUAAGGGACCUACCUGCCGCACUGGGAUAACAGGGGGAAACUCGUGCCAAUACCGGAUAAGAGCAUGGUGCUGCAUGGCUGUAUGAGGAAAGGCGAGGCGUGAGGAGAGCCUUGCGUCCUAUUAGCUAGUUGGUGUGGUAAUGGCUCACCACGGCGAAGAUGGGUAGCCGGCCUGAGGGGGUGGGCGGCCAUAGGGGUGCGAUGCGACCCCGACUCCUACGGGGGGAGGCAGCAGUGGGGAAUACUGGACAAGGGGGAGCACGCUGCUGCAGCGCCGCUGUGUGGACGACGAAGGUUGGCUUGUUGUCAACUUCCUCCAGCAGCGAAGAAGUAAGUGACGGUACCUGGAUAAGAAGCGCCGGCUAACUACGUG